GGCAAGAUGGCCGAGCGGUCUAAGGCGCUACGUUCAGGUCGUAGUCUCUUCGGGGGCGUGGGUUCGAAUCCCACUCUUGUCA
This is a transfer RNA of Dacryopinax sp., 82 nucleotides long. It matches the Rfam family "tRNA". Rfam says of the family: Transfer RNA (tRNA) molecules are approximately 80 nucleotides in length. Their secondary structure includes four short double-helical elements and three loops (D, anti-codon, and T loops). The record is from Rfam. Lineage: Eukaryota; Fungi; Basidiomycota; Dacrymycetes; Dacrymycetales; Dacrymycetaceae.